RNAcentral lists this ribosomal RNA (253 nucleotides) under uncultured prokaryote. RNAcentral's name for it is "partial 16S ribosomal RNA". It matches the Rfam family "Bacterial small subunit ribosomal RNA", at positions 524 to 776 of the family's 1533-position model. The record is from RNAcentral.
UACAGAGGGUGCGAGCGUUGUUCGGAAUUAUUGGGCGUAAAGGGCGCGUAGGCGGUGUUGUAAGUCACCUGUGAAACCUCUGGGCUUAACUCAGAGCCUGCAGGCGAAACUGCAAUGCUGGAGGGUGGGAGAGGUGCGUGGAAUUCCCGGUGUAGCGGUGAAAUGCGUAGAUAUAGGAAGGAACACCAGUGGCGAAGGCGACCACCUGGGCUCAUACUGACACUGAGGUGCGAAAGCGUGGGGAGCAAACAGG